RNAcentral lists this ribosomal RNA (2375 nucleotides) under Salmonella enterica subsp. enterica serovar Agona. RNAcentral's name for it is "partial 23S ribosomal RNA". It matches the Rfam family "Bacterial large subunit ribosomal RNA", at positions 583 to 2925 of the family's 2925-position model. Lineage: Bacteria; Pseudomonadati; Pseudomonadota; Gammaproteobacteria; Enterobacterales; Enterobacteriaceae. The record is from RNAcentral.
CUUUGGGGUGUGACUGCGUACCUUUUGUAUAAUGGGUCAGCGACUUAUAUUCUGUAGCAAGGUUAACCGAAUAGGGGAGCCGGAGGGAAACCGAGUCUUAAUUGGGCGUUAAGUUGCAGGGUAUAGACCCGAAACCCGGUGAUCUAGCCAUGGGCAGGUUGAAGGUUGGGUAACACUAACUGGAGGACCGAACCGACUAAUGUUGAAAAAUUAGCGGAUGACCUGUGGCUGGGGGUGAAAGGCCAAUCAAACCGGGAGAUAGCUGGUUCUCCCCGAAAGCUAUUUAGGUAGCGCCUCGUGAAUUCAUCUCCGGGGGUAGAGCACUGUUUCGGCUAGGGGGCCAUCCCGGCUUACCAACCCGAUGCAAACUGCGAAUACCGGAGAAUGUUAUCACGGGAGACACACGGCGGGUGCUAACGUCCGUCGUGAAGAGGGAAACAACCCAGACCGCCAGCUAAGGUCCCAAAGUCAUGGUUAAGUGGGAAACGAUGUGGGAAGGCCCAGACAGCCAGGAUGUUGGCUUAGAAGCAGCCAUCAUUUAAAGAAAGCGUAAUAGCUCACUGGUCGAGUCGGCCUGCGCGGAAGAUGUAACGGGGCUAAACCAUGCACCGAAGCUGCGGCAGCGACACUCAGGUGUUGUUGGGUAGGGGAGCGUUCUGUAAGCCUGCGAAGGUGGCCUGUGAGGGUUGCUGGAGGUAUCAGAAGUGCGAAUGCUGACAUAAGUAACGAUAAAGCGGGUGAAAAGCCCGCUCGCCGGAAGACCAAGGGUUCCUGUCCAACGUUAAUCGGGGCAGGGUGAGUCGACCCCUAAGGCGAGGCCGAAAGGCGUAGUCGAUGGGAAACGGGUUAAUAUUCCCGUACUUGGUGUUACUGCGAAGGGGGGACGGAGAAGGCUAUGUUGGCCGGGCGACGGUUGUCCCGGUUUAAGCGUGUAGGUGUGUGUUCCAGGUAAAUCCGGUUCACUUUAACACUGAGGCGUGAUGACGAGGCACUACGGUGCUGAAGCAACAAAUGCCCUGCUUCCAGGAAAAGCCUCUAAGCAUCAGGUAACAUCAAAUCGUACCCCAAACCGACACAGGUGGUCAGGUAGAGAAUACCAAGGCGCUUGAGAGAACUCGGGUGAAGGAACUAGGCAAAAUGGUGCCGUAACUUCGGGAGAAGGCACGCUGACACGUAGGUGAAGUGAUUUACUCAUGGAGCUGAAGUCAGUCGAAGAUACCAGCUGGCUGCAACUGUUUAUUAAAAACACAGCACUGUGCAAACACGAAAGUGGACGUAUACGGUGUGACGCCUGCCCGGUGCCGGAAGGUUAAUUGAUGGGGUCAGCGCAAGCGAAGCUCCUGAUCGAAGCCCCGGUAAACGGCGGCCGUAACUAUAACGGUCCUAAGGUAGCGAAAUUCCUUGUCGGGUAAGUUCCGACCUGCACGAAUGGCGUAAUGAUGGCCAGGCUGUCUCCACCCGAGACUCAGUGAAAUUGAACUCGCUGUGAAGAUGCAGUGUACCCGCGGCAAGACGGAAAGACCCCGUGAACCUUUACUAUAGCUUGACACUGAACAUUGAGCCUUGAUGUGUAGGAUAGGUGGGAGGCUUUGAAGUGUGGACGCCAGUCUGCAUGGAGCCGACCUUGAAAUACCACCCUUUAAUGUUUGAUGUUCUAACGUGGACCCGUAAUCCGGGUUGCGGACAGUGUCUGGUGGGUAGUUUGACUGGGGCGGUCUCCUCCUAAAGAGUAACGGAGGAGCACGAAGGUUGGCUAAUCCUGGUCGGACAUCAGGAGGUUAGUGCAAUGGCAUAAGCCAGCUUGACUGCGAGCGUGACGGCGCGAGCAGGUGCGAAAGCAGGUCAUAGUGAUCCGGUGGUUCUGAAUGGAAGGGCCAUCGCUCAACGGAUAAAAGGUACUCCGGGGAUAACAGGCUGAUACCGCCCAAGAGUUCAUAUCGACGGCGGUGUUUGGCACCUCGAUGUCGGCUCAUCACAUCCUGGGGCUGAAGUAGGUCCCAAGGGUAUGGCUGUUCGCCAUUUAAAGUGGUACGCGAGCUGGGUUUAGAACGUCGUGAGACAGUUCGGUCCCUAUCUGCCGUGGGCGCUGGAGAACUGAGGGGGGCUGCUCCUAGUACGAGAGGACCGGAGUGGACGCAUCACUGGUGUUCGGGUUGUCAUGCCAAUGGCACUGCCCGGUAGCUAAAUGCGGAAGAGAUAAGUGCUGAAAGCAUCUAAGCACGAAACUUGCCCCGAGAUGAGUUCUCCCUGAGACUUAGAGUCUCCUGAAGGAACGUUGAAGACGACGACGUUGAUAGGCCGGGUGUGUAAGCGCAGCGAUGCGUUGAGCUAACCGGUACUAAUGAACCGUGAGGCUUAACCUUACAACGCCGAAG